This 497-nucleotide ribosomal RNA is filed under the name uncultured bacterium. RNAcentral describes it as "partial 16S ribosomal RNA". It matches the Rfam family "Bacterial small subunit ribosomal RNA", at positions 28 to 507 of the family's 1533-position model. The record is from RNAcentral.
GAUGAACGCUGGCGGCGUGCCUAAUACAUGCAAGUCGAGCGAACAGACGAGGAGCUUGCUCCUUUGACGUUAGCGGCGGACGGGUGAGUAACACGUGGGUAACCUACCUAUAAGACUGGGAUAACUUCGGGAAACCGGAGCUAAUACCGGAUAAUAUUUCGAACCGCAUGGUUCGAUAGUGAAAGAUGGCUCUGCUAUCACUUAUAGAUGGACCUGCGCCGUAUUAGCUAGUUGGUAAGGUAACGGCUUACCAAGGCAACGAUACGUAGCCGACCUGAGAGGGUGAUCGGCCACACUGGAACUGAGACACGGUCCAGACUCCUACGGGAGGCAGCAGUAGGGAAUCUGCCGCAAUGGGCGAAAGCCUGACGGAGCAACGCCGCGUGAGUGAUGAAGGUCUUCGGAUCGUAAAACUCUGUUAUUAGGGAAGAACAAACGUGUAAGUAACUGUGCACGUCUUGACGGUACCUAAUCAGAAAGCCACGGCUAACUACGUG